GAUUAAAAUAAUUAAGGGCACACAAAGGAUGCCUUGGUAGUAAGAGCCGAUGAAGGACGUGGUAAGCUGCGAUAAGCCUAGAUAAGUUGCAAUCGAACGUAAGAGUCUAGGAUUUCCGAAUGGAGCAAUCUAUUAAGAUGGAGUCUUAAUACGAAAGAGGGAACCGCGUGAACUGAAACAUCUAAGUAACGCGAGGAAAAGAAAGUAAAAACGAUACCCGAAGUAGCGGCGAGCGAAACGGGUCAAGCCUAAACCUUAAAUAUGUCAAGGAUACAGCCGUUGUAUUUAGGGGGUUGAGGGACAGAGUGAUGAAGAACUGUAAGAUAUUCAAUAUAGUGUAUUGAUGAACUAGAAUAGUCUGGAAAGGUUAACCGUAGAAGGUGAAAGUCCUGUAUAGGUAAAUCCUUACACAUAUAACUUUGAUCCCAAGUAACAUGGAACACGAGGAAUUCUGUGUGAAUCAGUGAGGACCAUAUCUCAUAAGGCUAAAUACUCUUACUAACCGAUAGCGCAUAGUACCGUGAGGGAAAGGUGAAAAGAACCCCUGGAGGGGAGUGAAAUAGAACCUGAAAUUGUGUGCUUACAAGCGGUCAGAGCCAGUAAUGGUGAUGGCGUGCCUUUUGGAGAAUGAUCCUGCGAGUUACGUUAAACGGCGAGGUUAAGUAUUACGGAGCCGAAGGGAAACCAAGUCUUAAUAGGGCGAUUUAGUCGUUUGGCGUAGACGCGAAACCUGGUGAUCUAAACCUGUCCAGGAUGAAGCUGUGGUAAGACACAGUGGAGGUCCUAACCCACCGCCGUUGAAAAGUUGGGGGAUGAGGUAGGUUUAGGGGUGAAAAGCCAAUCGAACCAGGAGAUAGCUCGUUCUCUCCGAAAUGCAUCUAGGUGCAGCCUUGAGUGUUCAAUUAUGGGGGUAGAGCACUGAAUGAUCUAGGGGGCAUAUUGCUUACUGAAAUCAAUCAAACUCCGAAUACCAUAAUUUAUAGCUCAGGAGUGAGACUAUGGGAGUUAACUUCCAUUGUCAAAAGGGAAACAACCCAGACCACCAGCUAAGGUCCCUAAUUAUAACUAAGUGGGAAAGGAGGUGGAGAUUCACAAACAACUAGGAGGUUGGCUUAGAAGCAGCCAUACCUUUAAAGAGUGCGUAAUAGCUCACUAGUCGAGAGUCUCUGCGCCGACAAUGUAACGGGGCUAAGUUAUAAACCGAAGCUGUGGAAUCCGUAAGGAUUGGUAGGAGAGCGUUCUGUAGGCCGUUGAAGGAGAAGGGUAACCGACUUUGGAGGUAUCAGAAGUGAGAAUGCAGGAAUAAGUAGCGAGAAAGGGGGCGAGAAUCCCCCUCGCCGGAAGACCAAGGUUUUCAGGGUAAAGCUUGUCUUCCCUGAGUAAGCCGGGACCUAAGCCCAGGCUAUAAUGCGUAGGCGAAUGGAAAACAGAUUAAUAUUUCUGUGCCAGUCAUAUAUUGUGAUGGAGGGACGCAGAAGGGUAUGCGCGCGGACGAACGGAAGUGUCCGUAGAAGUAUGUAGGAUGACUUAGUAGGAAAAUCCAUUGAGUUAUAUCUGAGGUAUGAUAUAUAGUCGUAAGAUGAAUGCGCAAAUCCCACGCUGCCAAGAAAAGCUUCUAACGUUAAUUUAUGACUGCCCGUACUGCAAACCGACACAGGUGGUCAGGAUGAGAAAUCUAAGGCGGACAGGCUAACUCUCGUUAAGGAACUCUGCAAAAUAACCUCGUAACUUCGGGAGAAGAGGAGCCCUUGGGUGUUAGUAUCCAUGCGAUACAAAGCGCUCGAGGGUCGCAGUGAAGAGGCUCAAGCAACUGUUUAACAAAAACACAGGUCUAUGCUAAGCUGGAAGGCGAUGUAUAUGGGCUGACACCUGCCCAGUGCUGGAAGGUUAAGAGGAGGAGUGAGAGCUCCGAAUUGAAGCCCCAGUGAACGGCGGCCGUAACUAUAACGGUCCUAAGGUAGCGAAAUUCCUUGUCGGGUAAGUUCCGACCUGCACGAAUGGUGUAAUGAUUUGAGCGCUGUCUUGACGGGAGGCCUGGUGAAAUUGUAUUACCGGUGAAGAUACCGGUUACCUACAGUAGGACGGAAAGACCCCAUGGAGCUUUACUGUAGCUUGGUAUUGGGUUUUGGCAUUGCAUGUAUAGGAUAGUUGGGAGACUGAGAUGAUAUGGCGCUAGCUGUAUCGGAGUCAUCGGUGGAAUACCAACCAUUCAAUGCUGAAAUUCUAAUCUGUGGUUUGUAGCCACGGAGACAGUGCUAGGUGGGCAGUUUGACUGGGGCGGUCGCCUCCGAAAGAGUAACGGAGGCGUUCAAAGGUUCUCUCAGGUUGGAUGGAAAUCAACCAUAGAGUGCAAUGGCAUAAGAGAGCUUGACUGCAAGACUGACGGGUCGAGCAGAUGCGAAAGCAGGACAUAGUGAUCCGGCGAUUCCGAAUGGAAGGGUCGUCGCUCAACGGAUAAAAGCUACCCUGGGGAUAACAGGCUGAUCCUACCCGAGAGUCCAUAUCGACGGUAGGGUUUGGCACCUCGAUGUCGGCUCAUCGCAUCCUGGGGCUGGAGAAGGUCCCAAGGGUUGGGCUGUUCGCCCAUUAAAGCGGUACGUGAGCUGGGUUCAGAACGUCGUGAGACAGUUCGGUCCCUAUCCACUGUAGGCGUUAGAAUAUUGAGAAGACCUGUCCUUAGUACGAGAGGACCGGGAUGGACAAACCUCUGAUGUACCAGUUGUCACGCCAGUGGCACAGCUGGGUAGUCACGUUUGGAAUAGAUAACCGCUGAAAGCAUCUAAGCGGGAAACUAACUUCAAGAUAAGUAUUCUUUAAGAUACCUUCGAGCCUAGGAGGUUGAUAGGUUGGGGGUGUAAGUACAGCAAUGUAUUUAGCUGACCAAUACUAAUUAUCGAAGUUUUAAUCUA
This 2909-nucleotide ribosomal RNA is filed under the name Fusobacterium hwasookii. Its description in RNAcentral is "23S ribosomal RNA". It matches the Rfam family "Bacterial large subunit ribosomal RNA". The record is from RNAcentral. Lineage: Bacteria; Fusobacteriati; Fusobacteriota; Fusobacteriia; Fusobacteriales; Fusobacteriaceae.